GCUAAUGGUACAACUCUGGGAGGAGUAACUGACACACUAGAAGGCUAUGCUGCCAUUCAACAAGACCUUGAUGGACUGGAGAGUUGGGCAGAAAGGGGGGUUCAGCAAGGGUAAAUGUAAGUUCCUGCACCUGGGGAGGAAUAACUGCAUGCAUCAGUACAGGUUAGGGGCUGACCUGCUGGAGAGAAGCUCUGAGGAGAAGAACCUGAGUAUCCUGGUGGACAAGUGGUUGGCCCUGAGCCAGUGGUAUGUUUUUGUGGCCAAGAAGGCCAGUCGUAUCUAGGGAUGCAUUAAAAAGAAUGUGGCCAGCAAGUUGAGGGAGGUGAUCCUGCCCGUCUACUCUUCCUUGGUGAGCCCACAUCUGGAGCAGUGUCCAAUUCUGGACUCCUUGGUUCAAAAAAGGCAGGGAUAUUCUAGAGAGAGUCCUGCAGGGGGCCACAAAGAUGACGAGGGGUCUGGAGCAUUUCCCAUAUGAGGAAGGGCUGAGAGACCUGGGCCUGUUCAGCCAAAACUGAAAGAUGGUACUGUCUAUGUUUGGAAAUAUCUGACGUGCAGGAGACAAAUGGAUGGGGCCAGGCUUUUUCAGUCGUGUGGUGACAGAAUGGGGAGCAAUGGGUAAACACCAGAAGUUCCAUGCAAACACAGAAAAAAAUAUUUACUGUGAGGGUGAUGGUACACUGGAACAGGCUGUUUGGAUAGGCUGUGGAGUCUCCUUCUCUGAGGGUAUUCAAGACCUGUCUGGAUGCUUUCCUGUGCAACCUACUGUAGGGAACCUGCUUUAUCAGGAGAUUGGGCUCAAUGAUCUCCAGACGUCCCUUCUGACUACUGUGAUUUCUGGAGAAGCUGGCAGUCCGUGGCUUGGAUAGGACCUUUCAAAUAAACAAGGUUACAAUUGACUGGAGAAAUUUGAGAUUCCCUUUUGACAUGUCUGCUGGCCUCUAGAGGAGUUGUUCCUGGCCUCUUUCUUGAAGACCACAGAAGAAACAUUUUCUUUGACCCUGUAAUUCUUCCACCUGGCAGGUAGUCAUGACGAUGAUCUCUUUGCUGCAACUUCUUACACUGAUGUUGGUUUGUGUGAUGGCUGUUAGAUCAUUGUACUGCAUCAAUCAAGUAAAGCUGGCCAAGCUUGCCUCACCUUUCUAAACUGGUGGAGCAGUUUAUUUGAUCUACUGUUUUUUGUUUGUUUGUUUUGUUUUUUUGUGGAAUUGUAAAUGUGAACUGCAGUCCUGUGCCACAUUAUAUGACUAUUUAGUUUUCACGUAAGGAGUAAUUUUUGUUGUAUUUGAAGUAUUUUUGUUACCUGAUCCCAUAUUGUUCUUAAAAUUGGUUUUAUUUCUGUACUGGCAUAAAAAGGGUGAGAAAUAAAGUAGAGAAAUGGAAACAAAACCUGCAAUGUAUCAAAACCUUGCCCUAUUGGAGAAGCUGGUGUGACGCUGUGUCCCUGUGAGGUUGUAAAAGA
RNAcentral lists this long non-coding RNA (1459 nucleotides) under Gallus gallus (chicken). RNAcentral's name for it is "lncRNA (ENSGALG00010023346.1)". Lineage: Eukaryota; Metazoa; Chordata; Aves; Galliformes; Phasianidae. The record is from RNAcentral.